GGUCAGUUAACUCAGUUGGUUAGAGUGUGGUGCUAAUAACGCCAAGGUCAUGGGCUCGAUCCCCAUGCUGACCA
Non-coding RNA from Rhincodon typus (whale shark), 74 nucleotides. Lineage: Eukaryota; Metazoa; Chordata; Chondrichthyes; Orectolobiformes; Rhincodontidae. The record is from the annotation of a RefSeq genome assembly.